AGAGUUUGAUCCUGGCUCAGGAUGAACGCUGGCGGCGUGCUUAACACAUGCAAGUCGAACGAUUAACCCAACUUCGGUUGGUUAUAAAGUGGCGAACGGGUGAGUAACACGUGACCAACCUACCUCUUACUUUGGGAUAACCCAGAGAAAUCUGUGCUAAUACCAAAUAACCCAAUUAACUCGCAUGAGUUUUUUGGCAAAGCCUUUACGGUAAGAGAUGGGGUCGCGGCCCAUUAGGUAGUUGGUGAGGUAACGGCCCACCAAGCCUGCGAUGGGUAGCCGGACUGAGAGGUCGAUCGGCCACAUUGGGACUGAGAUACGGCCCAGACUCCUACGGGAGGCAGCAGUGGGGAACUUUGCGCAAUGGGGGCAACCCUGACGCAGCAACGCCGCGUGCGGGAUGACGGUCUUCGGAUUGUAAACCGCUUUCAGUAGGGAUGAAUUUUGACAGUACCUACAGAAGAAGCCCCGGCUAACUACGUGCCAGCAGCCGCGGUAAUACGUAGGGGGCAAGCGUUAUCCGGAUUCAUUGGGCGUAAAGCGCGCGUAGGCGGACCUUUAAGCACAUCUUCUAAUCUUAGGGCUCAACUCUAAGCCGGGAUGUGAACUGGAGGUCUCGAGUUGGGUAGGGGAGAUUGGAAUUCCUAGUGUAGCGGUGGAAUGCGCAGAUAUUAGGAAGAACACCAAUGGCGAAGGCAGAUCUCUGGGCCUAAACUGACGCUGAGGCGCGAAAGCUAGGGGAGCAAACAGGAUUAGAUACCCUGGUAGUCCUAGCCGUAAACGAUGGGUGGCAGGUGUGGGAGUACUUUACUUCCGUGCCCCCGCUAAACGCAUUAAGCACCCCCCCCUGGGGGGUACGGUCGCAGGACUAAAACUCAAAGGAGUGGAGGGGGCCCCGCACAAGCAGCGGAGCAUGUGGUUUAAUUGGAAGCAACGCGAAGACCCUUACCAGGGCUGGGCAUAUAGGUGAAGCAGUGGAAACACGGUGGCCGAAAGGAGCUUAUCCAGGUGGGGCAUGGCUGUCGUCAGUUCGGUUCGUGAAAUGUUGGGUUAAGUCCCGCAACGAGCGCAACCCUUGUUUCAUGUUGCCGGCAUUUAGUUGGGGACUUAUGAAAGACUGCCGGGCGUUAAGCCGGAGGAAGGUGGGGAGGACGUCAAGUCAUCAUGCCCCUUAUGUCCUGGGCUGCACACGUGCUACAAUGGCUAAUACAAAGAGCUGCUACUCAGCAAUGACAAGCGAAUCUCAAAAAGUUAGUCUUAGUUCGGAUAGUGGGCUGCAACCCGCCCACUUGAAGUCGGAGUUGCUAGUAAUCGCGGAUCAGCAUGCCGCGGUGAAUACGUUCCCGGGCCUUGCACUCACCGCCCGUCA
Molecule: ribosomal RNA, 1369 nt
Filed under: uncultured bacterium
Lineage: Bacteria
Description: bacterial SSU rRNA
Rfam family: Bacterial small subunit ribosomal RNA
Source: RNAcentral